AGCCCCGUGGUGACCCAGAGGAGAGCUCUGACUAUUAUAAUGUCAAUCCAAAUUCAAUCCCAGGUCCAUAAAGAGCAGCUCACCAUCACGAGGUUUCGGGUAACCUUCCUGUGGCAGGGGUGUGGUCUUUGCCUCCGCAGCAGGGGAGGGGUGGUGCAGCAGGGGGCAGUGCCAGGGACACUGAUGGAGAGGGUGGAGAUAGUUCCUCUAAUGAGAAUCUUUUAGUGAUGCCAAGACGCAUAAAGAGCAGUGCAGUCAGCUGGAGAGCUGAGUGACGUGGGUGCUGAACCGAAAGCAGUGUGUACACUUCAAUAAAUGAAAAAGCACAGUUUGAAUCUGGUGUGGGUCCUUGUGUGUUACACUUACCCUUUUUAACCUCUGGC
Oreochromis aureus is the source of this 383-nucleotide long non-coding RNA. Lineage: Eukaryota; Metazoa; Chordata; Actinopteri; Cichliformes; Cichlidae. The record is from Ensembl.